AGCCGGGUCCCGUGCAACGGACGGUCGCCAACCCCGUCAGGCCCGGAAGGGAGCAGCGGUAACGACUGGUUCCGUGUGCCGCGGGGGUGCCUGGCUGUC
RNAcentral lists this signal recognition particle RNA (99 nucleotides) under Geoalkalibacter subterraneus. RNAcentral's name for it is "Bacterial small signal recognition particle RNA". It matches the Rfam family "Bacterial small signal recognition particle RNA". Rfam says of the family: The signal recognition particle (SRP) is a universally conserved ribonucleoprotein involved in the co-translational targeting of proteins to membranes. Archaeal SRP consists of a 7S RNA and homologues of the eukaryotic SRP19 and SRP54 proteins. Lineage: Bacteria; Pseudomonadati; Thermodesulfobacteriota; Desulfuromonadia; Desulfuromonadales; Geoalkalibacteraceae. The record is from Rfam by way of RNAcentral. RNAcentral also lists the same sequence under 3 other names.